This 796-nucleotide ribosomal RNA is filed under the name uncultured Pelagibacteraceae bacterium. RNAcentral describes it as "bacterial SSU rRNA". It matches the Rfam family "Bacterial small subunit ribosomal RNA", at positions 44 to 888 of the family's 1533-position model. The record is from RNAcentral. Lineage: Bacteria; Pseudomonadati; Pseudomonadota; Alphaproteobacteria; Candidatus Pelagibacterales; Candidatus Pelagibacteraceae.
ACGCCUAAUACAUGCAAGUCGAACGAAGUAGCAAUACUUAGUGGCAGACGGGUGAGUAACAUGUGGGUAUCUUCCCUUUGGUGAGGAAUAACACGAGGAAACUUGUGCUAAUACCUCAUAAGUCUUUACGGAGAAAGCUUUAUGCGCCAUUGGAUGAGCCCGCACUUGAUUAGUUUGUUGGUGGGGUAAAGGCCUACCAAGACUAUGAUCAAUAGCUGAUUUGAGAGGAUGAUCAGCCACAUUGGGACUGAGACACGGCCCAAACUCCUACGGGAGGCAGCAGUAGGGAAUCUUGCACAAUGGAGGAAACUCUGAUGCAGCGAUGCCGCGUGAGUGAAGAAGGCCUUUGGGUUGUAAAGCUCUUUCGUCGGGGAAGAAAAUGACUGUACCCGAAUAAGAAGGUCCGGCUAACUUCGUGCCAGCAGCCGCGGUAAUACGAAGGGACCUAGCGUAGUUCGGAAUUACUGGGCUUAAAGAGUUCGUAGGUGGUUAAAAAAGUUGGUGGUGAAAUCCCAGAGCUUAACUCUGGAACUGCCAUCAAAACUUUUUAGCUAGAGUAUGAUAGAGGAAAGCAGAAUUUCUAGUGUAGAGGUGAAAUUCGUAGAUAUUAGAAAGAAUACCAAUUGCGAAGGCAGCUUUCUGGAUCAUUACUGACACUGAGGAACGAAAGCAUGGGUAGCGAAGAGGAUUAGAUACCCUCGUAGUCCAUGCCGUAAACGAUGUGUGUUAGACGUUGGAAAUUUAUUUUCAGUGUCGCAGCGAAAGCAAUAAACACACCGCCUGGGGAGUACGACCG